AUUCCCUCCAUGGAUCCUGGGCUCAGGUCUCCCAACGGGACCCUGCCUACCCCAGGCCAGCUGGGAAUUGCAGAGUCUCUCUGGGAAAGUGGCCUGAAACUCCCAAAUGUGAGGGUGACCAGAAGCCCCAUUCUAGUCACCAGUAUGCGCCUAGGGUGCUAGGUUAGGUGACCAUGAACAGAACUCUGCAGCCCAAUGGAUCUCAGAUCAGGAGCCUUGGUGACAGGCAGGUCUGAGGCAGUAGAAUGCCUUCCUGUCCGUCAGGAUUCAUCUGUCACUCACGUUCUCCCAGCUUCCAUAAGAAUCCCGACUGGGCGGGGCACGGUGACACAUGCCUGUAGUCCCAGCGGCUUGGGAGCCUGAGACAGGAGGAUCUCAAAUUCAAAGCCAAGCUCAGCAACUUAGCAAGGCCCUAAGUAACUCAAAGUAACCCGGUCUCUAAAUACAAUAUAAAAAGGGCUAGGGACGUGGCUCGAUGGCACCUCUGGGUUCAAUCCCCGGUACCAAAAAAAGGAUAAAAAGAAUCCCAACUGAGCCACCACCUAUCUAUAUGACCUCAGCAAGUUACUAAACCUUUCUGGAUCUCAGUGUCCCCACCUGUGCUAUAGGUAAAAUAAUGGUCACCCUCCCAUGGUUGCUGGGUGGAUGGAAGGAGACAGAGCUUGGCGCGUCCCCUGGAGAGCCAGUCAGUGGUGUCAUUAUUAACAACAAUAGACUGGACAGCACCUGGGUCAAAUGGUCUGCCUCUGAGGACCUUCAGAAAGCAGGGGCAGGGGACCAAAG
This 783-nucleotide long non-coding RNA is filed under the name Marmota monax (woodchuck). The record is from RNAcentral. Lineage: Eukaryota; Metazoa; Chordata; Mammalia; Rodentia; Sciuridae.